CCUACGGGAGGCAGCAGUGGGGAAUAUUGCACAAUGGAGGAAACUCUGAUGCAGCGACGCCGCGUGAAUGAUGAAGGCCUUCGGGUCGUAAAAUUCUGUCCUUGGGGAAGAUAAUGACGGUACCCUAGGAGGAAGCCCCGGCUAACUACGUGCCAGCAGCCGCGGUAAUA
This 170-nucleotide ribosomal RNA is filed under the name uncultured bacterium. Its description in RNAcentral is "partial 16S ribosomal RNA". It matches the Rfam family "Bacterial small subunit ribosomal RNA", at positions 338 to 525 of the family's 1533-position model. The record is from RNAcentral.